Molecule: non-coding RNA, 122 nt
Organism: Paramuricea clavata
Lineage: Eukaryota; Metazoa; Cnidaria; Anthozoa; Malacalcyonacea; Plexauridae
Source: the annotation of a GenBank genome assembly
AGACCCGGAGCGAGGGGGAUUCGGCGGAAUAUUACCUGAAGUGAUGAUAUUUUCCGAGGGUCUUUGCCCCAAGGAAAAUAUCAUCACUGAGGGUAAUAUUCCGCCGAAUCCCCCAAGCGGAC